GUGGGCUGAAGCAAAGCUUAUAAGCGCCCUCCCCCAAAAUUAAUAAAUUUUCCCAUUUUACAAUAGCGCAAAGGUUAUAUUUUCAAGGUUAUAUUUUCACAUAAUGUUUUUUAUAUUAUGUACGAUGAUUUUAUGUAGAAAACAGUGAAUACAAAAAAAUUCACAAAUAUGUGUUGUGUUUCAUAUUUAUGAAUUGGACUAUAACUAAGAACCAUAAUUGCACUGUAGUGGGAACUGUGAGACAGUUUUUAUGUCUAUAAUGUUGUAACAUGCAGAGCAACGUUUUGUUAUUUACCUUCAACCUUGUAUAUGGGAUUUUCAGCAGGGUUUGAGUUGAUGCAGGAGCACAGAAAUGACACCAGAGGAAGCUCCUUUAAUUUAUCUCGAUAUGCUGCGUGGAGAGACAUGAGUCCUGUCUGCUGCUCCUCGGAUACAAGAGCUCAGCAGCAUCAGCAGCACUGCCCCUCCCACUGCAUGACAUCAUCUUCCAGUUCUGUCAUUGGACGAGAGAUAUUUCAUAAAUAUUAAAGACAUCCUCUAUGGGAAGACAACUUUACGGGCAUCAUCACCUACGAUGCUACAGGAGCAACAUUUUAAAAGAGGACAAGGGACAGAAAGGAAGACAGCAAGGCAUUGCGUGUCCUCUAAUAACACUGACUGGAAACAGCGAGAGAUCAUCACAGUAAAAAUGAGAUGAUGUGAUUUAGACUUCAUAGCCAGUAACUCCACUUUGCAGCAUGACAUCUGCAGUUUAUCACCUAUACAGAUAAAAGUCUCAGACCUCAUCUUGAAAGGGAUUUUAUGUAAAACCUGAAAAUAAACAACAACAAAAUAAUUUGAAAUAAUAAAAAGGUUGCACUGUUUUUAGGUCACUAAUGAAAGUAAAAAGGAACAUUAUGUUACUUUCUCAAUUCAAUUUAUGUCCUAAGUUAUUGUGCAGGUAAUAUAAAUUGUGAUGAGAAGCUCUGUACUUAAUUAGAAAAAUGCAAAAUAGCAGUACCUUCAAUAGCGAGUUCAAUUCUUUGGACACCCAUUGUAUAAUAUAUAUUGAAUUUUCUCAAUGACAGUUAAAUUAGGACUUCACUGGAAUGCCUGUGCAUUGAUCUUGAGGUUUAAUGGUUAAGCAAAAUGACUGAGAAACGCAUUUAAAUCCCUGUGAGGUGUGACAGACAGGGAUGUCACUGGAAUUACAGCUUCAUCCUAUUUAUGUACGUAUGGAAUUAAAAAACAUAACAUUUAUAAAAUAAAUACUAUUUGUAUUGUCUUUCCCUGCUAAAAAAUGUAUCUGGUCAACAACAUAUGUUGUGUUUUGGAUGCUGAUGUCUAACAGGUCCAUUUACUUUUGUAGCUGAGCUCAAAAAAUUGCUGGGUUAUUUUCAAGCCACCAUGUAGCGUUGGGUCAAAGAGGUACGAACUUAACCCGUUGGGUUGUAAUUUAACCUAUGCUGUGUUGUUUCAACCCCAAAUGCUGAGUUAACCCAUUGUUGGGUCAAAUAUACACAUUUUGGGUCUAUUGCUAUA
Molecule: long non-coding RNA, 1521 nt
Organism: Misgurnus anguillicaudatus (oriental weatherfish)
Lineage: Eukaryota; Metazoa; Chordata; Actinopteri; Cypriniformes; Cobitidae
Source: RefSeq, a predicted model, not a curated record